Molecule: ribosomal RNA, 586 nt
Filed under: uncultured bacterium
Lineage: Bacteria
Description: partial 16S ribosomal RNA
Rfam family: Bacterial small subunit ribosomal RNA
Source: RNAcentral
UGGGGAAUUUUGGACAAUGGGCGAAAGCCUGAUCCAGCAAUGCCGCGUGUGUGAAGAAGGCCUUCGGGUUGUAAAGCACUUUUGUCCGGAAAGAAAUCCUUGGCUCUAAUACAGUCGGGGGAUGACGGUACCGGAAGAAUAAGCACCGGCUAACUACGUGCCAGCAGCCGCGGUAAUACGUAGGGUGCAAGCGUUAAUCGGAAUUACUGGGCGUAAAGCGUGCGCAGGCGGUUUGCUAAGACCGAUGUGAAAUCCCCGGGCUCAACCUGGGAACUGCAUUGGUGACUGGCAGGCUAGAGUAUGGCAGAGGGGGGUAGAAUUCCACGUGUAGCAGUGAAAUGCGUAGAGAUGUGGAGGAAUACCGAUGGCGAAGGCAGCCCCCUGGGCCAAUACUGACGCUCAUGCACGAAAGCGUGGGGAGCAAACAGGAUUAGAUACCCUGGUAGUCCACGCCCUAAAACGAUGUCAACUAGUUGUUGGGGAUUCAUUUCCUUAGUAACGUAACUAACGCGUGAAGUUGACCGCCUGGGGAGUACGGUCGCAAGAUUAAAACUUAAAGGAAUUGACGGGGUCAUAGCUGUUUCCU